CGAGCACGCGCGUGUGGCAUAUCAAUAAGCGGAGGAAAAGAAACUAACAAGGAUUCCCUUAGUAACGGCGAGUGAAGCGGGAAGAGCUCAAAUUUGAAAUCUUCAAGGUUCUACCUUGACGAAUUGUAGUUUAUAGAAGUGUUUUCUGUUAGUGGAGUGGCAAAAGUUCUUUGGAAUAGGACAUCAUAGAGGGUGAGAAUCCCGUAUUUGGUCAUUCCUCCUAGCGUCGUGAUACACUUUCAACGAGUCGGAUUGUUUGGGAAUGCAGUCCAAAAUGGGUGGUAAAUUUCAUCUAAAGCUAAAUAUUGGCGAGAGACCGAUAGCGAACAAGUACCGUGAGGGAAAGAUGAAAAGAACUUUGAAAAGAGAGUUAAACAGUACGUGAAAUUGUCAAAAGGGAAGCGUUUGACACCAGUGUUGUUUUUCCGAAAAUCAAUUACGAAUGUUUUGUUUUUGAGGAGUUAUGACUUCAUCGGCUUGCUCCUUUCUUUACGAAACUUUCUUAAUGCACUUUUCGGUUAACAAGUCAACAUCAAUUUCUUUUGUUGUAAAAGGGUAUGAGGAAGGUGGCUUCAUCUUCGGUUAGAAAGUGUUUAUAGCCUUGUGACCUCUGCAAGUCGGAGAGAUUGAGGUCUGCAGCGUAGAUCCUUCGGGGUUAGAUACAUUUGUGCUAAGUUAUAGCUUUUCAUAGACAACUUGUUGACUAUGUUAAGUCUUGUAGCUUACUCGCUUACUGCUAUUUUACCUACGCUUAGGAUGUUGAACUCUAUCACACACAG
Molecule: ribosomal RNA, 779 nt
Filed under: uncultured Neocallimastigales
Lineage: Eukaryota; Fungi; Neocallimastigomycota; Neocallimastigomycetes; Neocallimastigales
Description: partial large subunit ribosomal RNA
Rfam family: Eukaryotic large subunit ribosomal RNA
Source: RNAcentral